RNAcentral lists this ribosomal RNA (451 nucleotides) under uncultured bacterium. RNAcentral's name for it is "partial 16S ribosomal RNA". It matches the Rfam family "Bacterial small subunit ribosomal RNA", at positions 29 to 523 of the family's 1533-position model. The record is from RNAcentral.
AGCGAACGCUGGCGGCAGGCCUAACACAUGCAAGUCGAGCGGGCGUAGCAAUACGUCAGCGGCAGACGGGAGAGUAACGCGCGGGAACGUGCCCUUUGGUUCGGAAUAACUCAGGGAAACUUGAGCUAAUACCGGAUAAGCCCUUCGGGAGAAAGAUUUAUUGCCAUUGGAGCGGCCCGCGUCGGAUUAGCUAGUUGGUGAGGUAAUGGCUCACCAAGGCGACGAUCCGUAGCUGGUCUGAGAGGAUGACCAGCCUCACUGGGACUGAGACACGGCCCAGACUCCUACGGGAGGCAGCAGUGGGGAAUAUUGGACAAUGGGCGCAAGCCUGAUCCAGCCAUGCCGCGUGGAUGAUGAAGGCCCUAGGGUUGUAAAGUCCUUUUGACGGGGAAGAUAAUGACGGUACCCGUAGAAUAAGCCCCGGCUAACUUCGUGCCAGCCGCCGCGGUAA